GUUAGCUCAAUCGGUAGAGCGUGAGACUCUUAAUCUCAAGGUUGCGGGUUAGUAAUCUAUCCUGCAC
RNAcentral lists this transfer RNA (67 nucleotides) under Grosmannia clavigera kw1407. It matches the Rfam family "tRNA", at positions 6 to 65 of the family's 71-position model. Rfam says of the family: Transfer RNA (tRNA) molecules are approximately 80 nucleotides in length. Their secondary structure includes four short double-helical elements and three loops (D, anti-codon, and T loops). Further hydrogen bonds mediate the characteristic L-shaped molecular structure. tRNAs have two regions of fundamental functional importance: the anti-codon, which is responsible for specific mRNA codon recognition, and the 3' end, to which the tRNAs corresponding amino acid is attached (by aminoacyl-tRNA synthetases). tRNAs cope with the degeneracy of the genetic code in two manners: having more than one tRNA (with a specific anti-codon) for a particular amino acid; and 'wobble' base-pairing, i.e. permitting non-standard base-pairing at the 3rd anti-codon position. The record is from Rfam by way of RNAcentral. Lineage: Eukaryota; Fungi; Ascomycota; Sordariomycetes; Ophiostomatales; Ophiostomataceae.